AUAUGACUUAGUGGCGGACGGGUGAGUAACACGUGAGCAACCUGCCUUUCAGAGGGGGAUAACGGCUGGAAACGGUCGCUAAUACCGCAUGAUGUGUUCGGAUGGCAUCAUCUGAACAUCAAAGAUUUUAUCGCUGGAAGAUGGCCUCGCGUCUGAUUAGCUAGAUGGUGGGGUAACGGCCCACCAUGGCGACGAUCAGUAGCCGGACUGAGAGGUUGAACGGCCACAUUGGGACUGAGAUACGGCCCAGACUCC
RNAcentral lists this ribosomal RNA (255 nucleotides) under uncultured Oscillospiraceae bacterium. RNAcentral describes it as "partial 16S ribosomal RNA". It matches the Rfam family "Bacterial small subunit ribosomal RNA", at positions 85 to 339 of the family's 1533-position model. The record is from RNAcentral. Lineage: Bacteria; Bacillati; Bacillota; Clostridia; Eubacteriales; Oscillospiraceae.